Molecule: non-coding RNA, 241 nt
Filed under: Thermobacillus composti
Lineage: Bacteria; Bacillati; Bacillota; Bacilli; Caryophanales; Paenibacillaceae
Description: T-box sequence
Rfam family: T-box leader
About the family: Uncharged tRNA acts as the effector for transcription antitermination of genes in the T-box leader family. T-boxes are found upstream of many aminoacyl-tRNA synthetase genes and some amino acid biosynthetic genes usually in Gram-positive bacteria.
Source: RNAcentral
CCAACGGCCAUGACGGGAAAGAGUACGCCAUGAACUGUCGAUUGCAGAGAGCCGGUGGAGGGUGCAAACCGGCAUCGCGGCUGGCGGAAUGGGUCCCUGAGCCGGAAAUCGGAAAGCGGCCGGAUGCCGCCCAUGGUUUCCCGGUUGCUCCCCGUUACGGAGCUGUGAGGCUUCGCCGUCGCUUGUCCGGCAUGCGGCGUCGAAGCGAAUAAGGGUGGCACCACGGUCCCUCGUCCCUUGC